GAACGAGAAAGUGGAGCAAUCCAUGAGUACAGUGGCGUACGGGUGAGUAACACGUGGGUGAUCUACCUUUUAGUGAGGAAUAACCGAGGGAAACUUUGGCUAAUACCGCAUAAGCCCGAGAGGGGAAAGCAGAAAUGCGCUGAAAGAGGAGCCCGCGGCCGAUUAGCUAGUUGGUGGGGUAAGAGCCCACCAAGGCAGAGAUCGGUAGCCGGCCUGAGAGGGCACACGGCCACACUGGCACUGAAACACGGGCCAGACUCCUACGGGAGGCAGCAGUGGGGAAUCUUGCACAAUGGGGGAAACCCUGAUGCAGCGACGCCGCGUGAGCGAUGAAGCCCUUCGGGGUGUAAAGCUCUUUCGUCAGGGAAGAUCGUGACGGUACCUGGAGAAGCAGCUGCGGCUAACUACGUGCCAGCAGCCGCGGUAAUACGUAGGCAGCAAGCGUUGUUCGGAGUUACUGGGCGUAAAGGGUGUGUAGGCGGUUCUUUAAGUUUGGUGUGAAAUCUCCCGGCUCAACUGGGAGGGUGCGCCGAAUACUGAGGGACUAGAGUACGGGAGAGGAAAGUGGAAUUCCUGGUGUAGCGGUGAAAUGCGUAAAUAUCAGGAGGAACACCGGUGGUGUAGACGGCUUUCUGGACCGACACUGACGCUGAAACA
This 657-nucleotide ribosomal RNA is filed under the name uncultured Bacillota bacterium. RNAcentral describes it as "bacterial SSU rRNA". It matches the Rfam family "Bacterial small subunit ribosomal RNA", at positions 64 to 753 of the family's 1533-position model. The record is from RNAcentral. Lineage: Bacteria; Bacillati; Bacillota.